UUUGAUCCUGGCUCAGGAGUGAACGCUAGCGGCAGGCCUAAUACAUGCAAGUCGAACGGUUCUUGGUUUUCGGAUCAAGGAUAGUGGCGCACGGGUGCGUAACACGUACACAACAUACCCUUUACUGGGGGAUAGCGGUGGGAAACUGCCAGUAACUACCCCAUGUCGUUUAAGGUUUGGCAUCAAAUUAUAACGAAAAUUACGGUGGUAGAGGAUUGGUGUGCGUCCGAUUAGCUAGUUGGCGGGGUAACGGCCCACAAGGCGACGAUCGGUAGGGGGUGUGAGAGCAUGGCCCCCCACACGGGUACUGAGACACGGACCCGACUCCUACGGGAGGCAGCAGUAAGGAAUAUUGGACAAUGGGCGGAAGCCUGAUCCAGCCAUGCCGCGUGAAGGAAGAAUGCGCUCAGCGUUGUAAACUUCUUUUGAAUGGGAACAAUAACCUCCACGAGUUGGGGGCUUGAGGGUACCAUUAGAAUAAGCACCGGCUAACUCCGUG
RNAcentral lists this ribosomal RNA (499 nucleotides) under uncultured bacterium. RNAcentral describes it as "bacterial SSU rRNA". It matches the Rfam family "Bacterial small subunit ribosomal RNA", at positions 12 to 507 of the family's 1533-position model. The record is from RNAcentral.